AACGAACGCUGGCGGCAUGCCUAACACAUGCAAGUCGAACGAGACCUUCGGGGCUAGUGGCGCACGGGUGCGUAACGCGUGGGAACCUGCCCUUAGGUUCGGAAUAACUCCCCGAAAGGGGUGCUAAUACCGGAUAAUGUCUUCGGACCAAAGAUUUAUCGCCUUUGGAUGGGCCCGCGUUGGAUUAGCUAGUUGGUAGGGUAAAAGCCUACCAAGGCGACGAUCCAUAGCUGGUCUGAGAGGAUGAUCAGCCACACUGGGACUGAGACACGGCCCAGACUCCUACGGGAGGCAGCAGUGGGGAAUAGUGGAAAAUGGGGGAAAGCAUGAUCCAGCAAUGCCGCGUGAGUGAUGAAGGCCGUAGAGUUGUAAAGCUCUUUUACCCGGGAUGAUAAUGACAGUACCGGGAGAAUAAGCUCCGGCUAACUACGUG
Molecule: ribosomal RNA, 433 nt
Filed under: uncultured bacterium
Lineage: Bacteria
Description: partial 16S ribosomal RNA
Rfam family: Bacterial small subunit ribosomal RNA
Source: RNAcentral